Molecule: non-coding RNA, 56 nt
Organism: Salmo salar (Atlantic salmon)
Lineage: Eukaryota; Metazoa; Chordata; Actinopteri; Salmoniformes; Salmonidae
Source: Rfam
UGUAUGCACAGAUGAGUAAGUCGCUUUGGUUAAAAGCAUCUGCUAAAUGGCAUAUU